This is a long non-coding RNA of Lolium perenne, 2370 nucleotides long. RefSeq lists it as uncharacterized. Lineage: Eukaryota; Viridiplantae; Streptophyta; Magnoliopsida; Poales; Poaceae. The record is from RefSeq and is a predicted model, not a curated record.
ACCAAGAGCUAACAACGCCGCUGCGUCUUUGUUCGCGCAUACGUACGUGCGUGCCUGACGCCGACCUCUACAUCAACACCGGCCGGCCGCCCGUCAAGUUCGCCGCGCGCUGUUUCAUGAUCCUCACCGUCGCCUCCGUUUCGCUGACGAGCUGUUUCCGCAACGUCGCUCCCUGGACCAACCUCCUCCGCCAACGAAGGUUGCCGUUCCAGGCGUUCUCGUCUCCGUCCGCUGCACCGAAGUCUGCUAACGUCGACGUCGCACUCCGGUGCUACCUCCGUCAGAAGAUCGCUCCAUUUUACGGCCACGGUGUUGUCCAGUGCCGACCGCGUCCGUGCUUUUCAAGGUGCCGCCUUUGAGGCCGGGUCUUAUUCAUGUGAAUCUGCACUACAUCAACGCCAGCUCUGUAGACUAGCUGCUCAGCCCGCUCGUCAGUCUCCUCCAGGGCCACCUCUGCAUGUUGCUUCCUCGUUAGCAACCAGUCACGUCCGGGUCCCGCAGAUCAGCCUCUCAGGCUCGAAUCGUCUUGGCAUUUGCUUCUUCCCGGAUAGGAUCACGAAGUGGUGUGGUGAGAUACGACAAGUUCUCCGGAUGUUGCUCGGCAAGCUUUAACAGGCAAGCAUUUCCCCUAUACUCAUGUCCCGGCAGGAGUCGCUCACCUAUUUUAUUUUGCCUUCCCCCUUAUGCUAUCCUUGAGUUGCGUUCUUGUCACGUGUCCCUUCCACUUGUUACCUCAAGCAGUCCAUAUUGCCACCACCACCCCCUACAGCUAUUGUUUGGUUAUCGGGUCUGCCUUGCGAGUCGUAGUGCAUGCUACUGCUGUUUUAUCUCGUUACCGUUAUUGUUAUCUUAUCGGGUUAUAUGUUGGGAAGAAUCAUGGUUACUUUAGUUGUUGAUAAUUGUUUAGCGCAGGCAUCGGUGGGUCAGCUGAUCAUUUUGUGAUGACUCACUUGUGUUUCCUAAAUAUUUUAGGACCCCGAGUUCUUGUUAUCUGUUCCGAGACUGAGCGCUCUAACCACACGUGGGUAUACUUACCGGGUCUCCCCUCGACCACUGCCGUAAUCUACAGCCUUGUCCAGUGGCCACAAUUAGUUUGAAUGCUUUGUUUCUCUCGGGCGUGCAAGCUUGUUUCUUUGUGGUCAGAUGAUAUGAUGUUACUUUUGGGGAAGCCGUGAGUGCCUUGUAACCCCGUUGCCUCUUGCACGCUCGUAGGUGCAGUCCGCAUUGUUAAGAGGUCAUCCUCUAGUGGGCUUUGAUCCUCUUAGCCGUUCUCGCAAUAGCUAGGUCCGCCUCGGAGUUUCGAUCGGGCUCUGAAACAGGUUAAACUUAGUUAGGUGGCUUCCUGGACAUUGUUGUGGUGAAGGAGAGUGCGAGUCGUGAUAUCCACCUGUCAUAAGUGGGUCGAGCGUGCGUGUGGGCACAUUUGGGCACCCCUGCAGGGUUACAAUCUUAUCGAUAAGCCGUGUCCGCGGUUAUGGAUGAGUUGGAGCUGUAUGACUCGACCAUAGACAACUUACACAUAUUGUUUCAAUACUAAUAACUUGCAUAGUAAGAUAGAACAACUUAAAUAAUUCUUGGUUAAAACUUGUCAACAAUGUGGGUGCCUUUGCCAGUACUUCUUUGCGAAGGGGGAACACAUCGGAUGUGUUAUGUUCGCAGAGUAUAGAACUGUUAGUUGUGUGCUCUCUCACCUUCUCUGAUAGACGAAUGUUCUAGAGUGUCUCUAUAGGUUUUUAGUGCUUGCGCGCUACCGCUUAACCCCACCAUAUUGCCUAUGACGUUCCUCUUGCGUCUAAGUCCCCUGCGUGCCUCAAGUACGAAGGACGACUGGUUGACGAAUGCUUAUACGUCUUGAAGUCUUGUUAAGUACGAACCCGUACUUGUUGCUGCUUCUACGGGAUCUAACCGGGCAGGUAUGAAGAUAUGUUCGAAGAAGACGACGUUAGCAAGGUUACCCUUCCGGCUUGGCCUGGGCAGGGUUAUGGACGCCACUGGUUAUCUUCAGGACUCUUAGUCCAAAUUGUAUCUUGUCCGUACUCGGACGCAUUCGACUUUCUGUAUGAUUUGGAUCUUUGUAUUGUAUAUUUGUAUCUUGACUCGUUGGAGUCAUUGUUGUAAUAUAUGUAUCUUGUGGGCUCUAUUGUAAUCCUGUUGUAAUGUUACCGCUCGUGUUAAUUCCUCUGGCAUCACGUGUGUGAUUCGUCGCGCACGUCGUGUCGGAGGGCGUCUCUGAAUCGAUAUCGUGCAAAUUUUGGCGGGAUCGCUGGAAUCCUCAUGGUACCGGUUCCGGGGCGUCACACCACAUCACCAUCUGCGGGCCACCCGGGCUUGCCGGAUCUAGACACUGUCGAUGGUAUACCCAUGAAAUAU